Molecule: ribosomal RNA, 253 nt
Filed under: uncultured bacterium
Lineage: Bacteria
Description: partial 16S ribosomal RNA
Rfam family: Bacterial small subunit ribosomal RNA
Source: RNAcentral
UACGUAGGCAGCGAGCGUUGUUCGGAGUUACUGGGCGUAAAGAGUGCGUAGGCGGUGCGGUAAGUCUGGUGUGAAAUCUCCCGGCUCAACUGGGAGGGUGCGCUAGAAACUGCCGUGCUUGAGUGUGGGAGAGGUAAGCGGAAUUCCUGGUGUAGCGGUGAAAUGCGUAGAUAUCAGGAAGAACACCGAUGGCGAAAGCAGCUCUCUGGGACGGUACUGACGCUGAGGCGCGAAAGCGUGGGGAGCGAACAGG